AGAGCGACAAGGAAGAAUUCACA
RNAcentral lists this non-coding RNA (23 nucleotides) under Arabidopsis thaliana (thale cress). Lineage: Eukaryota; Viridiplantae; Streptophyta; Magnoliopsida; Brassicales; Brassicaceae. The record is from RNAcentral.